AAUGGCCGCAAGGCUGAUCCAGCCAUGCCGCGUGCAGGAUGACGGUGCUCUGCAUUGUAAACUGCUUUUGUUCGGGAAUAAACCCUUUCACGUGUGAGAGGUUGAAUGUACCGAAAGAAUAAGGGACGGCUAACUUCGUGCCAGCAGCCGCGGUAAUACGAAGGUCCCAAGCGUUAUCCGGAUUUAUUGGGUUUAAAGGGUGCGUAGGCGGGCUAUUAAGUCAGUGGUGAAAGCUCUCAGCUUAACUGGGAAACUGCCAUUGAUACUGAUAGUCUUGAGUAUGAUUGAAGUGGGCGGAAUGUGUCAUGUAGCGGUGAAAUGCUUAGAUAUGACACAGAACACCGAUUGCGAAGGCAGCUCACUAAGCCAUAACUGACGCUGAUGCACGAAAGCGUGGGGAGCAAA
RNAcentral lists this ribosomal RNA (405 nucleotides) under uncultured bacterium. RNAcentral describes it as "bacterial SSU rRNA". It matches the Rfam family "Bacterial small subunit ribosomal RNA", at positions 370 to 772 of the family's 1533-position model. The record is from RNAcentral.